This 507-nucleotide ribosomal RNA is filed under the name uncultured bacterium. RNAcentral describes it as "partial 16S ribosomal RNA". It matches the Rfam family "Bacterial small subunit ribosomal RNA", at positions 899 to 1397 of the family's 1533-position model. The record is from RNAcentral.
ACUCAAAUGAAUAGACGGGGGCUCACACAAGCGGUGGAGCAUGUGGCUUAAUUCGAGGCAACGCGAAGAACCUUAUCCUGGGCUUGACAUGCAUGGAUCAACCCGAUGAAAGUCGGGCCACACUCGCAAGAGCGGAACAUGCACAGGUGCUGCAUGGCUGUCGUCAGUUCGUGUCGUGAGAUGUCGCGUUAAGUCGCUAAACGAACGCAACCCCUAUCUUUAGUUGCCAGCGCGUCAUGGCGGGGACUCUAAAGAGACUGCCGGUGUCAAACCGGAGGAAGGCAGGGAUGACGUCAAGUCCUCAUGGCCUUUAUGCCCAGGGCUGCACACGUGCUACAAUGGGGCGUACAAAGCGCCGCUAAGUCGCGAGACCACGCUAAUCGCAAAAAGCGUCCCCCAGUACGGAUUGCAGGCUGCAACUCGCCUGCAUGAAGCCGGAAUCGCUAGUAAUCGCCGAUCAGCAUUGCGGCGGUGAAUGUGUUCCUGAGCCUUGUACACACCGCCCGU